GACGAACCGAGCGAACGUUGUUCGGAAUCACUGGGCUUAAAGGGCGCGUAGGCGGGCUGCCAAGUCUGGGGUGAAAUCCUCCGGCUCAACCGGGGAAGGGCCUUGGAUACUGGCGGUCUGGAGGGAGGUAGGGGCGUGCGGAACUGUAGGUGGAGCGGUGAAAUGCGUUGAGAUUGGCAGGAACGCCGGUGGCGAAAGCGCGUCGCUGGACCCCUCCUGACGCUGAGGCGCGAAAGCCAGGGGAGCAAACGGG
RNAcentral lists this ribosomal RNA (253 nucleotides) under uncultured bacterium. RNAcentral describes it as "partial 16S ribosomal RNA". It matches the Rfam family "Bacterial small subunit ribosomal RNA", at positions 524 to 776 of the family's 1533-position model. The record is from RNAcentral.